UACGUAGGGGGCAAGCGUUGUCCGGAUUUAUUGGGCGUAAAGAGCGUGUAGGCGGUCCGGUAAGUCAGCUGUGAAAGUCAAGGGCUCAACCCUUGAAUGCCGGUUGAUACUGUCGGGCUAGAGUCCGGAAGAGGCGAGUGGAAUUCCUGGUGUAGCGGUGAAAUGCGCAGAUAUCAGGAGGAACACCAAUGGCGAGGGCAGCUCGCUGGGACGUGACUGACGCUGAGACGCGAAAGCGUGGGGAGCAAACAGG
RNAcentral lists this ribosomal RNA (253 nucleotides) under uncultured bacterium. RNAcentral describes it as "partial 16S ribosomal RNA". It matches the Rfam family "Bacterial small subunit ribosomal RNA", at positions 524 to 776 of the family's 1533-position model. The record is from RNAcentral.